AUUACUCCUACGGGAGGCAGCAGUGGGGAAUAUUGGACAAUGGGCGCAAGCCUGAUCCAGCAAUGCCGCGUGAGUGAAGAAGGCCUUAGGGUUGUAAAGCUCUUUCGCCUGCGACGAUGAUGACGGUAGCAGGAGAAGAAGCCCCGGCUAAUUCCGUGCCAGCAGCCGCGGUAAUAAU
This 178-nucleotide ribosomal RNA is filed under the name uncultured bacterium. Its description in RNAcentral is "partial 16S ribosomal RNA". It matches the Rfam family "Bacterial small subunit ribosomal RNA", at positions 332 to 526 of the family's 1533-position model. The record is from RNAcentral.